Cavia porcellus (domestic guinea pig) is the source of this 142-nucleotide small nucleolar RNA. It matches the Rfam family "Small nucleolar RNA SNORA48". From Rfam's summary of the family: The snoRNA ACA 48 has been identified to guide pseudouridylation of the residue U3797 in the 28S rRNA subunit. The record is from Rfam. NCBI's taxonomy places the organism in Eukaryota, Metazoa, Chordata, Mammalia, Rodentia, Caviidae.
CCCUCUUGCAAUGAGCACAGAGACACAUUGUUGGUGAUGUUGUUCUUGUAUCAGUCAGGGGAAGAGUAGAUGACAGGCCUUUUCUCAUCCUAGCUUGAUGCUUGGCUGGUGGCCAAACUUGUUUCAUGCUUAGGGCACAUGU